GCUGCAGGAUGGUGCUGUGGUGUGACUGGAGGUGCUCAUGCUGGUCUAGGUGUGUAUGUGUGAGCAUUGAUUCCAAAAUACCUUUCAAAAACUUGGUUGGCAUGAACUGCGCAGAGCUGCAAGCCUCUCGGAUGCCAAAGUCUCUUAAAGGAGGUUAUCCAUGGAAGAACAAGAGGAGUAAUAUGCAAAUGUGCAAGAAAGAUUUUUAAAGUCACUUUUAUUAAGAAAAAUGUGCAAGCAUGCAUCCCUCAAGACAUUGAAUGAGUGUCCCUAAAAAGGGAUUUACCAGGGAUGUUGGUGGUGAGAUUCUCUCUGGGGAAACUACCAUGUUCUCCCUCCUCAUAAAUGCUUUGUUUUCAUCCAUUUUACGUUCGUGUUUUUAAGUUAUGCUAUUUUCAGUCAAGGCUAUGUGUUGGUGGCAUACUUGUCCUGGAAGGUGGCAGACCCUACUGAUCAGUGACACAGGCAGCAAAGCUGGUUUCUGCCUUCCCUGACAUCCAGAUGCAGGAGCUGAGAGAAAUACUGUGUCUCUGGAGAUGAAGGGUCCCUGCCGAGUGACAUUUUCUCUGCCUGAUGUAUUGCUCUGCACCUGUUGCCAAGUGAUGAGGUGUGAGCCUGCCAGCCGUGCUGCGCCUGAGGAGCGAGCCCGAUGGCACCCGCUCGGCUGCCGUGCCCUCCUGGGGACGGGGCAGCGCUUCCAGGGGUGAGCUGCUGGAACAAGAGCCGGGCCACUUCUGCCACUCGGUGCUCUGUGUCCAUUGCAUCCGAGCCCUGCUGUGUGCUGCCUGCUCUGGAAGUGUUGAGUACGUUCCCCUGCAGCCUGAGUGCCAGCUGAGGCUGAGCAAGAAGUGCUCAAAUGGUAGAGACUCAACCGUGUUAAUUUGGAUAAUACUUAAAAAAAAAAAAAAAGUAAAAAGUAAGCACCAGCGUAUGUUUAUAGCCUGGAUAAAACUGCAUUGUGGAGCCCUGUAGCAAUGAUGUGCUGGAGGUCUGUGGUUGCUCUAACAGGUCCUGCGGUCCCAGCAACUUCAGGGGAAUGCUAAGAUGGCAGUCGCAGAGAUGUUUAAUUGUUUUCUGGAUUCUUCAGUCUGGUCAAUUUAGUGGCUUGAAAAAGACAGAAGAGUCUUAUUCCUGUAAAUAAACCUCCACACACCCAUUUGUAAACAAACACAUAAAUCCAGGUUUAGCAACAUAGUUAAAUGCUGUUGAAAGUUCUCAGCAACUCCCUCCUUGAUGAACUGUGAGUUUCAAAACCAUGGUGCAAAAAAAAAAGUCUUGCAGCUGCAAUGGUAUCAAGAUGAGCCCAAGCUUCGUUAGAACAAAUGCCAUUUGUUUAAAAAUAGAAAUAUUAUGCCAUCUUCCAGCAGCAGAAAUGAAAUAAGCUAUUAAAGGAUUAUGAUUCUGUGACUUCAGACCUAUUGUAGUCUUAAUAUUUCAUGGUGCAUUGACGUAGAGUACAUAAUAUGCUGAACAGCACUGUUGGCUUCAGCUGUUGCAAACAGUAUGGUGCAGAAAUAAUUGAACUAAAAAGAAAUUACAGCUAUUCAGAGAGGUAGCAACUCUGCUGUGUAGAUGCGAGAAUGUAGGUGCUGAGCCAAGCAUGCACUUAAAAAUAACAAUUGUUUUUGAUGGAAAAAAUUUAGGUAGAUUCUCUCUUUUAGGUAGAAAAAAUUAGGUAGAUUUUGCUGGCAUGGUCGUUUAUGGUAGGACCAAGUAGGAGUCAGAUGCUGUACUGCCCUGCCAAUGGAGGGAGAUCUGACUUGUCAGCAAUAUAUAAGGGCAAAGAGUAUGGAAUAUGAGGCCUUAUCUAUACAGAGAAUGACAUUCAUUUAAGGAACGCUGGUGUGGAUCUCUGUUUAUGCUUUUAAGUCUUAGAUGUAUCAUCCAGUUACUGCAGCUUAACAAGUCGCUGUUUGUCAGCGGUGCUGUUAAGUAACUGUUUACGCACUCUUAACCCAGCGUAGAUAUGACAUAAACCAUGUCAGAUUACAUCUUUCAUCUGGUUUUAUUCAGUUCAUUUAGCUUAAACUAGUUCCUAGUCCUUAAACAAAACCCAAACAGAGCUAGUUUCCAUCAAAAUAGCUGCCUGUACAGACUCUUCUUGUAUCUUAACCAAGCUGUAUUUUAAGUCAAACUGGGUAAACAUGUGUAGGCGAUUCCUUGGGCUCAGACAUUGCACAUCAGCAGAAAAAUCUUCUCCUGUAGUCCUGUCUGACUGCUUUGGUGAAACAUGGAACUGCAGAGGUGGAAGGGAGAAAGCGACUGGGAGGGGAUGCCAAGCAAAGGCAGCAGGAGCCAUCCAGGGUGCUGCCCUAGGCACCUCGGGCAUACCACGAGACCCUGGUCACCCUCUCAGAGCACUGUCAGCCCUGCCAAUGGCUUGUGUCACCCCGCAGCCUCCACAGGAGCGUUUCGGGUGCCUCAGGGUACUUGAAGUGGCACAAGCUGCCUGCACAUGAGCAGCUGAAUGGCACACGCCUGACUCUGGCCAUAAGCACAGCUGUUCCGUGGUGGUGCCCCCUGAGAGCAAGUCUGUGCUGCCUUCCUUUGCAGUCCUGUUGAAUACAAGGUGGUGUAGAUUUAUGCAGGACCUAAAUGUUGCAUGUUCUUUGUGAUGGGUUUCUGUACCGCAGUGACUAUAUAUUUUCAGCUCAGCCUUUUGUUCUCCCCCAACUGCCCAUCUUACCCAUGAUCCCUUCCAACAGGGGGAAGAUUUUACUCGAAGGAUGUUUGGAUUCUAAACCUUCUCUUGUCUGACUGAGGCUUGCCCAGACGCAAUAUAAACAGCCAGUUAAUUUUCACUGUUGUCCCCUCACCCCCAAUCAAAAACAUACAGUUUUGAUUCCUGUAUCAUGUACAUGCCAUCCAUUCAGAGGAAGAUCUAUCAUUUGGGGGUUUUGAUGCCUAUGACCAGUAAAUCAGAGGGUCCUGCCCUUGCUAGCAAGACAUUUUAACAAGCUUUUAGGGAGGUUGUGUGUGUGAGAGAGAAUUGAGAAGCAGUCUGUUUUUUAGCCUUCUGGAUUCCUUUGACUGCCAGUGGCAAAUGUCUUAUCUUUUUAAAUACCCUACUUUUUAAUAUUACUGUUGUGUUUAAUAUAAAUUGCUCUGUUUUGUUUUUAUCUAAAUAACACCAGAAUCUGGGAGGGAGGAAGCAAUGGCUUGCGAGAGGUUAGGACCUUUGAUUUUCUCCUUGCAGCUGUCAGAAGUCUCCUGUCUCUGGCUACAUGUUCUGAGCAGAGGUAUAAUCAUCAAUCUGGAGACAUCUAAUUAGGCUCACUCCUCCCCGCCUGCCUGCUGUGGCGUGAAAGCCUUUGCCUGGCAGAGCUCUCAGGCUGACAAACAGGCGCUUCUGCGCUCACAAGAGACAUGCCAGUGGUAGCGGGGUGCUACUAGCUGGAGCCUUUUGUAGCAAUAUUACCCAAUUUCUCAGAGCUGCACCCCUUGCUGUGCAGCCAAGCUGCCCCAUGUUGCUGAGGGCAAAGGGGAGGAAUGGCUAAGUGCAGUGACAGAGGGGUGCCAAGCUCAGCGCCUCCUGUCAUCGCGGUGACAGCGUGAGGACUGCUCGAACAGUUAGGAGUUUUCACCCAGGAACAGAGUGGAAGCCCACUGAAUGGGAAGCUCUCAGAUUUGGAAGGGAAGGGGACUAAAGACACUAAGACACGUACCCAGGGGCUUGGGGGGCAGUGUUGGUUUGGGAUGGAAGUUCCCAAGGAGAUCAGACUGGAUUGGCACUUGCAAUGUUAUCUGGAUUUCUUGCAAUGUCUGCUGGAUUGCUGUUUCUUUCAGAUGCAUGCUUUCCCUCUCCUCACAUAAACCCAACACGCCAAAAGUCCACUUAACCAAGAGUUAUAUUGCUCUAAAUGUUAAAGGAGUGAGAUGAGUGUACCUGGGCUAUAACUGCAUAUGGAAAAGAUGAGGACUAGAUCCUCUCUGCCUUUAAACCUUUAGUCAGAGUGGCCCGUCAGGAAUGUGUGGACCCUUUCUGGAUGGAGUACAAGGUGGAUGACACAGCCAAGAGCAGGUACCAGAGUAUAAAAGGGUCUGAGCUGUGAUGCAGAAUGGGCAGAAGCAGCCAACUGAAUCCCCAAAGCUCUGCUGGCCUUCACCCAAGCUGUCUUUGACGCAAGGAUUUGUCUUUUGCUUCUGUACGGCCUCUAGCACAAAGGAGCCCCAGUACGGCAGAAGUGACAGCAAUAGCAACACAUCAGGUAUGUCUCCGGUAUAGGCAUAGCCUAUUGCUUGAGGGAUUAGAAAUGUGGUUCUUGUUGCUAAUAAUUAUGGAGCUUGACAUUCAUGUUGUUUCCACCCCUGUCCCUGUGUUGCUCCCUACGCAAAGCCACCUGGCCCUCUGUGUAUGUGCACAAACAACCAUGGGACACAAAAUCAGCCACGGCGUUUUCAGUUGCACCUGCCCUAGCCAAAUGUUUCCUCAUCUCCUGGUCCUGCUUCGUUCCCCAGCCCGAUCACCAGUGCUCUGCCAGCCAGCUCACAUGUGCAGUGUUCUGGCUGUCAUACAGAUUUGCCUUGAGUCACAUCCUUCAUUUUAAGGUAUUUUGACUGCCUGGUUCCUCAUCACCUCCCGCUGCCGUUCCUGCCCUGACUGCAGCUAGCUCUGUGCCUCUUGCUUGGCUUCCCUGUCCGCCUCCAGAGCAGUGGCUACUGACUGCUGUUGGAUCCGUGUUUUGGAUUAGCUGGACCUCAGGUCUGAUCCAGUCUGGCACUCGCUGCAUUCCUGUAUUUCUUUGAGCUGUUAACUGCUGAGCUGCCUGUCACUCACACGGUGACAUCUGUCACUCAUGUACUUACUGUCUGUGUGACAAGAAAUGUGACUGAGUAAGGCUCCCGGGAGGAGGCUGACAAAAGGGAGGGAGGAGAGGCAGGCAGAGGCUCCUCUGGUGCCCGAUCUCCAGGAACACAAUGUUGUUUAAGAAAUAGAA
This is a long non-coding RNA of Cygnus olor (mute swan), 4937 nucleotides long. RefSeq lists it as uncharacterized. The record is from RefSeq and is a predicted model, not a curated record. The transcript is spliced from 3 exons. Lineage: Eukaryota; Metazoa; Chordata; Aves; Anseriformes; Anatidae.